UUUUUUUUUUUUUUUCACAGAGGGAUACCAGAGGCCUACAGAUCUUUUGGGUCGAUAAUAUUGUUUUAGUUCUGGUGCCAAUUGAGGUUUUUGUCUAAACUGUGCCUAGUGCUAUCUUUUGCUGAUUAGAUGCUCCAGAGUGAUCAGAAGAAAUUUGCUUGGACUGUGGUUCUUUCCAGGUUGAGUCAUUUAGUGGGGAGAUCAAGGAUUAACUUAAUUAAAUCAACUACUACUUUCACAGUGUUAGGGAUCCUGCUGAGAUUAAUGAGGACUAAGGUUAAUGAGGACCAAGUUUUCCUUUCCUCUGUCUUAGUAUCUUUAAGAUAGUACCACUCACCAGACUUGCGUCACUGCAGCUCCCCUCACAUUCUGUACACUGACCAUUAUAUAUCUCUAUAUCUAUAUCUAUAUCUAUAUAUAUCUCAUCUGCUUCUCUGAAAUGGAUCAUUCUGAGUUUUCCUACAUCUUUUGCUGAGUAUAAGCUUGUCUGCUGUCCCAUUUUGCAAGGCUCCUUCUCAUUCAUCUAUUCUCUGAAGCACCAACCAAAGUGGCUGCACAAAAUACACAAAUUCCUCUUUGUGUAUAAUUUACCUACUGGACAGUGGUGUGGUAAAUACACCUUUAGGUAACCACAAAUUAUUAUUGUUUUAACCCAUGUACUCUUUGCUCUCCUGUUGUUUGCAUUGUGUCUUUAAGGCCCACUGAAGGACCUACUGCACUGCCAGGUCCUGUAAAAAAGAAAAAAAUACUAAGAUAAAAGAAACCUUAGAAACAAGGAAAAUCUUAAGGCAUACCAGAUUGCAAUGUUUGAAUGCAAUUUUUUUCAGAAGCUCUUCCUAGAUUUUUUUCUCCUGUGGCACCACGCUGUCCAAAUGCAGUAACACCAGUUUCAGAAGUCCUGUCCCAGGAGUAGUACCACUGAUAUUAAUGAUACACUGAAAGAACAGAAAACCACUUCACAGAGAAAAUGUGUUUUCUGAAUGCUGCUGAAGCUUUGGAAAUGUGAUGCAUUUCUCUGAAUUUCUCUAGCUAAACUUUCUCAUUAUUUGUUUUUACAUAUGUUUCUUAUCUUUUAGAGAUUUUUUUUAUAUGAUCAGAUUUUCUUAAAUCCAGUCCAUUCAGAAUUGUAAGAAGGAAAGAGGAGAGAAAUAUUUCAGGAGAUGUAAGAACAGAUUUGUGUAUUACAUGUGGUUAAAAAAAAACCUGUCAGCAACUAAUCACACAAAUUCACUACAGUUUUUUUAAAUUAAAAAUCUUAAAUAGAAAGUACUACACACACUAAAGAUUUAAUAACUAUUACUUAUUCAUCUAAAAUUUUCCAGUCGAAAGAUACUAUCUUAGCAAACAUUUAGCAAAGUCUCUUGGUACACUAGACAUAAUAGGUAUUUUUUCUUUUUAUGUUUUUAUGUUACCUUGUAGUUUACAUUUCAUAAUUUUUAAAGGCUUUUCAAAACUUUCAAAAAGGGCAAGAUCCUAAAAAUGUUAUGUAAAAGCACUCUUGGAUCCCUGUACUUUUUUUAAGAGAAUAUGGAGCAUAUUUAGGAGGGGGUUAAAAAAAGGAAUAAAUGAACAUUAUAAUACUAGUAGUACUAGCUAUAAAAAUGUUACUCCUGAACACCUUGUGUUGUUUUCAAGGGCUUUGAAAUUAUUUCCCUAACAACCUUGUUGGAUUAAAAAAGAAAAAUAAAACCAUUAUUAUACUCCUGUUUCUUAACAUACAUGCUGUGUUCUCUUGAAAUGCACUGGGUUAUCAGCAUUACAGAUGCUCUUUAAAUAGUAAACAGAUGCACCCCUGGUCAGUCACACUGAAAGCAUGCCAGUACUGCCUUCCUAAAAUGCUCCAUCUCCAAUCCAUCCAGGUAGGCUAAAAGACUCUCCCUCACUCAGUCCCUUGCAGAAGUUAUCAGUAAAAAUGCAAAUGAACUGUGAUUAUGACUAUUUUUUUAAACAAAGGUAACAUUCACUCCUGCAGAAGUGCCACCUAUCUAAUCAAUUUGGUCAAGCUAUUUAUACAUGUUUCUUCUGUGUGGCAUAAGAUUUCACUAAGGUCACUGGAGAAGACAUUGAUGCCUGGUAAAUUGCCAGUAAUCAAAGGUUGUUAAGUGCUUGUCAGCCUCCUUUCAAGCUUAGUCUAUCUUUAUCAUGAGGCAGACUUAGUUGAGCAGCUAGAGACCGUUCAUUCAUAAAUGGAUCACACUCAGGAAUAAUGCAUGAUACCAUUAAAAUAUCCAUAUUGCUGCAGAAACAUUUGUUCUAAAGCAAUCUCUUUUUUUUCUGAAAUAAGACUGUGGCCAAUGAAAGCGAAAUCUUGUGAUGUCUCUGCAACAAGGCUACUAUCCACACAUGAUAGGCUUUGUUUCCCAGCUCCUCCUCUCUCCUUUGAGCCCUGUCCCCCAAGGCCUCUGUUGAGCUUAGAUUCUGGAAUAUAUGCAGGAAAAGAUAUGCUAUUUUAGAGUUUUAGUUGCACUUGGAGUUUAUUUCAGUUUUUCCAGUUGCUCUCUCCAGUUAUAGUAGUUUGUUGGCCGCAAAAGAAAAGGCCAGUUAACCUUAAAUGGAAAACAUUUAGGGUAGAUGCUGACGAACUCUUAAAGAUACAAAGAUCUUCUUUUCACAUCUUGAUUAAAGCCACUAAAUAAUAAAUUGAAAAAAAACCUGAAGCAAGUAAUUAGUUGGAGAAAUAAGUAUAGCUCCACUGAAAUUAUGAGCCCACAUUACUUAAUUCUACCUGUGCACUACAUUUAAAAUAUGUUCAGAACUACAUGGUAUUAGAAAAAGAAAUCUGUGAAGAAAUUUUAUAGUAUUUUGAAAAAACGUGUCAGAAUUAAAUUCUCCUGGAGAUAUAUCAGAGGAAGAUACAUCUCUCCAACCUACCAAAUUGAUCAUAAGUUUACAAGGUGCAAAAGAUAUGGUUGCAGGAAGAAUUAAAGAAAUUCUGAAUGGUAAAUCAAUAAUGAAAUGCUGUGAUCAGUGGAAACCUUUGGUGAACACCCAAGACAGACUUGAAGUGAAAGGUAGUGAUGAUCAUUUAUUAUUAAUAAAACUUUUCUUGAAGGAGUCCUGUGCAAGGACUGUUCUCUUUCUCUACAACUGACUAGCAGUCAUAUGGAUUGCUUUCUGACAAAGACUGCUAGAGUUUACAAUUUGUGAUCAGCUACAAGUAAGUGGAAGGCUUCCCUUGGCAGUGUAAGGUGCUGUGCAAUAUGACUCAACAAAGGCUGUAAAAGGCAUAGAUUUUCUCUGCCCUAAUAGCAACCUAUUUCCCAUCAGACAUCUCAAAACCAGACCAUUGAGAUGCAGUCAGACACUGAACGAUAUAACCCUACCAAUCUGUUCUGGUUUAGCAAUCCUCCUUUGCCUCUCUAUUUUGGGCAUAGAGUGUUGCUUCCAGGACUGACAUUUUGGGGCCAGUUACAAUCAGCAGCUUGAGGGCUGCAUUUAUAUUUGAGGCAGCCAUUUUCUUCUUUUUCCAGACCCUUUUUCCUCAUGAUAAGGCUGCAAAUAAAUGAUGCUGCGAGCACUGCACCUGGGAAAGCUGAGAGUCUGCAGAGACUAGGAUGGUUCUAUGUACUGACAGCCAAACAAAACUGAAGUAUCCUCAUACCAGAAACUUGAUUCUUCUGUUCCUGAGCACACCAUAUCUUCAAAUUAAAUGUAAACAAUACCUAAACAAGCUCACUUAUUUUAAAAUCAUAAAAUGACAACUCUGUGAACACAUCCCUUUAAAUUAUUUGAAAGAUCUCUUCAAUAACUUGCAGCAAUUGCUUAAUAUAUUGGAAAUUUCACAAUUUCCCAAGUGCACACAUCCUGAAUGCUACAGGACCUCAUUCCCCUCCUAAAACCUUCAUAUGACCUGCAACUACAAGAUGCUGCCAUAAAAUAGCACACUGGUACCAGAACCAUCCUCUGGAUGCAAUCAAUACUCUUUGUGCAUAAACACAGCUUAAGGAGAAAUAAACAAAACACAGUCACUGCACUCCCUUAAAACAGGGUAGAUUGCACAUCAGUAUUUUGGUUAGUCAGCCACCUCGUCAGCAAUCAAAAUAAGCAACUUAAUUACAAAUGUUAUUUUUGGAACCUGAAAGGAGUUACAGCACAGAGGACGUGAUCUAUCUGCAUUUAUGGUGCUUUCAUCUGGAAAUUAAUCUUUCAAGCAAAAGCCACAUAUUUAAUUGAUAUAAAUUUAUACUCACUCUUACCUUGAACAGUCUCAAAGUUAUCAGUCACAUUCCACACAUCAGUAUGAACUGAGAAGAACCAUAGAUAUCCUUCCUAAAAUGUUUUAGAGGCCUCUCUCUCCAACAGCUUGAUAGGUCUGAGGGACCCAUCAGUGUGAUGGAAGUCUGUGUUACCCCGAUACCAAAAUAUUGUAAUGUGUGACUUGCUUGCACUUCUUGUUUCCUCCCUCAUGACAUCUACAAUACCAUUCACUUGCUCACUGUAGAAAGUUAACAUGAUUUCCAUCAAAGAUUUCAAAAACUCCGAAACCACCCAAAUGAUUUCUUGUCAAUUUUUCUCUCCACUCCUCUGUGUCAAGAGCACUGCAAGAUCUUUUAAGCUGCACUGCAGGGAGCCAACAUGCUUUUAGGUGAUGGCAGCAUACCAGUAUUAAUUUCACUAACCUAGUUCAGCAUGCAGUAUGCAAUCAUUUCCCACUCUCCUCCUGAUUUUUUCCCCCAGCCUAUUUUCAAUUUAAUUUAUAUGUUGGUAAAGAUUCUAUCUUUAAAAAAGACAGA
This 4733-nucleotide long non-coding RNA is filed under the name Taeniopygia guttata (zebra finch). RNAcentral describes it as "lncRNA (ENSTGUG00000020049.1)". Lineage: Eukaryota; Metazoa; Chordata; Aves; Passeriformes; Estrildidae. The record is from RNAcentral.